GUACCCUGUGAGGACAGGGUACUGGUGUUACCCCAAUUAGGUGGAGAAGGACAAACUUGUCAAAACAGGAGAAGAAAACUGAUGUGCUAAGAAGAGACGCCACUGGGUUUAAAAUGCUGCAUCACAGAAAACCAUGUGGUUGGGCGACACCCAAUCAGAACAGUGUCACUGAUGUACUAGCAGGAAGAUGUAACUGCAAGCCGUGCACUAUAUCCAAGGAAGGCGGGGCAGACAGAGGUGAACAGGACUCUGGAGGGUUAACCCGAGGGAAAUGAAACAUUGGCCUCACGUUGAAGCAUAAACAAGGCCAAAUUAAGUCGCUGUUUGUUUUUUAGUGAAAUAUAUGCUAUCUUUGGUCCCAAGUGUUUAGCUAUGAAAACACUAUUAUUAUAAAACUAUCAACAACAGCAGCACACACACUCACACACACACACACACACACACACACACACACGUGCACACACAUAUCUAUGGGGGGAGAAAAGGGGAGGAAUCCUUAUUCACAAUAAAAAAAACCCAACUGUUGGCUUUACUGAAAGAACUUUUGAAGUUUCUUUAAAGGUCAUUUAAAAUCUGACUGACUCAAUGUGCUAAUUUUUUUAAAUGUAUAAUACAAAGUUUUCUGAAUUUUAUACCAUACAGUAAGGGAAAUCCAUUUAAUAGGGAGAUACAGUUUUCAACUAAGUUGGUUCAGCAUACGUGUGUGCAAGAGAGAGACAGACAGACAGAGAGAGAAGCAUGUACAGCUAACAGACAAAGGAGAUAGAGAAAUACAGCCCACCUCCAGCUUUAAUCUGGGGUCACUGUGCAUGCCAUUCUGUGGGCUCCUGUUUCACCAGGGAGAAUUCAUUAAGCACAGAGCAAGUCAAUAAAAAUGAGCUUUAUUAAAAAGAACUAGUGUAAUUAAAGGUAUUGGUGAAAACCAGCCUGUUAUGAAGGGGAAAUGACUCAGCAGCAGCUUUAGGAAAGGAAAGGAAACCAUAUGCAAUAGAAUCUUCUCUCAGUUUUAAGCUGUGGGGGUGGUGAGUGUGCUCAGGAUGGCAGGAGUGCCUGUAUGAAAUCGCCAUUCUCCCUAUAGUGGUGAAUGAUGUUGUCUGCCGCAGUGCUGGCAGCUCUGACGGAGGGGACUACGGAGAGCCGCUGACGCAGGCUGCAUGCUGCAGAUGGCCAGAGGCGAUUUUCAUGAAGACUGCCUGUGCAACUGUCUAGGCACCCAGAGCACUAAAUUCGGAAAACUACAUAUUAGAGAAAACAUAUAGAAGACUUGGAGAGUCUCGUGUCAAAUGAUAGGCUGUGUGGCAAAAUGCAUAUGUAGCACAUGAUGGGUCAUGCACACUGUAUGUGGCAGCAGGUCAUGUGGCCUUAGCUGCCUGAUCUGAGUUCAAGGCCAAUAACCAGAUGACUCAGGAGCAGGUAGUGUGCAUCCCCCGGUUAUAGGGGAAACUCUGGCAGGAACCAGCCCAUGAACUGGGCUGGCCUUAGCGAGGAGCCUCAGAUCAGUCUGGGCUUAAGAUCUCAACUAUGUUUGAAAGACAGUGUAGCCUUGGCCUUGGGUUUGCCAGUGAUUUUGGAUUGCAGAACCAAUGCCUGGUCUAAUGCUUUAACAACACUGUCGUAAGGAUUAAAUGCUUCCUAUCUGAAAAAUAAAAUCACAAGGCGGCUCUGACGGUGUGCCAAGCUCUAGAAAGCCUAGAACAUCUUUCCAUUCUCCCUCUCUUCCUGGUGACAGGGACAUCAGGCAGAAAGAAGGAUUCAGUGAAGAAGAGCAUUUAUGAAAGGAUGGCGGACAUUCCCAGCACAAUUAGUAACCACGGCAACAAACCGGAAGGGGCGGACACUUCCAGCACAAGAAGUAAGCACCGCUAUAAACCGGAAGGGGCGGUGCCAUAUGUUGCGAUCCACACAAGCUUCUCUGCCUACCUUGGAGUUACUAAUGAAAUAUUGUCUGCAAGGAUAAUUUAUGGACUAUAUAUCUUUUAAUAACUUAUUGUAGCAUGUGGUUUACAUAGUUAAAACAGACAAAGCUCUGAAAAGCUUGAAGAGGAGGCAGCAUCUAAGGCAGGUCUUUAUCCAGCCCCUGAAAGCUGUAGGUACUUUCUCUUAAAAUGCCCACCCACAUCUACUCGGCUUUGCCAGAACUGCAUAUUUUGGAGCAGUAAAAAUUAUAUAUUAUCUUUAAAAGUGUGAGAAAAAGCUGGGUGACCAUGUUUGGGGAAGAUGUCUGUACUGAUCCUCAUCUAAACACUGUCAACUUACCAUGGAUAAAGUAUAUUACAGGGAUAUUUUUGAAUCCUUAACCUCACCUGAAGCAUGGACAGUAUACUUCCAACAGCUUCUACCCACAGUCUCUCUACAACAACAGAAGCUAAAGCAAAGCCGGCAAAGGUGGGGCAAGGCGCUCAGCAGCCUAGUCCUGGUGCUAAGACUAAGAGGUUUUGUCCCCAGAGAUCAGGAUGCAGCCGGGGAGGAGAACCUCCAUUUGCUUCAGAGGCUGAGAGGCACCUCAGAGGAUGCAACUGUGCUUCUCUUACCAUAAUUGGUUCAAUAAAAAUAUCUGGACGUCCAGUGGAUUUACAGAGCCAUGGAAACUGAUAAUUCAUUAGAUGAUAGUUUCAAAUUUUUGACUUUGUUCCUUUUUUGAAGUCUCUUAUAAAUUUUGUGGUUUUCUACAUGAGAAACCACUAGAAAAGUGAGUUAGAACCAAGAUGGCCCAGUUGGGGAAGAUGUGUGUUGCACAAGCUGGAGCCCACAUAAUGGAAAAUGAGACCCCAAAAGUUGUCCUCUGUCCUCCACUCACAGCAUGUCAUGGCUUACUUGCACACAUCACAUAGAUAAUGACAAGAGUAAAAACAGACAAAGGAUUUUCCCAGACAUAUGAUUGGCUCUGAUUUAAUACUAGUGUGGAGCCCUGGGAGACUCCUUUAGCUCCAUCUUCCUGUGCUUGAGUGGCUUGCAUGACUACAUGGUACUCAGAAACACCCUGUAGAUUAGCAUCCACGCUCCCUGCCUGCUAAGGCUCCCCUGUCCUUUCCAGCCCCCACAUUUCGUUUUGCUGGUGAUUCAUAAAACUAAACAAUCACAGGAUGAUAUGAAAUUAAGUGAUGUAAAACUAGAAGUGUAAGCCACUGUAACACAUGUAACUCAUGUGUUCUAAUGGCAGGGCUGACACAUGAUGACCCCUGACUGACAAAUGGUUCAGGAUCUCAUAUAUUAGUGCUGGAAACACCUGUUCUCUCGAUUAGAAAUCAUGUUUAUUAUCAUUUAAUGGAGCCUUAGGGAUUAUUUUUUAUUCAGAAACACAUAUUAGUGUUGAGUGGUAUAUACCUAUACUCUUGGGAGGCAAAGGAUGAGUCAAGGGACUUCUCAGACCCUGACUCAAAAAAAAAAAAAUCAAACAAAUAGAAAGUACAUAUUUUCCGAACAGCACAGAAAGAUCUCUGGGCAGCUACACAAUCAGGGCCUAGGCCUCUCACACAGCCCUGAGUCCCAUUUGGUCACAAUACAGAAUUCACCUUGAGAACACCUGGUCUUUCAUAUCACUUCCUGGCCUAUCUACCUGCCAUGGGUCAUUUCUCUUUGCAAAUAUAAAUAAUCACCUGAAACUGAAACCAUAUUUACUCAUUUCUGCUCUGUUUCUCAGAAGCUAUCUAGCUUUCUCUAAAACCAAGCAGUUCAGAGUUUUCAAAUACUCCAGCUUUAUGCAAUGGGUAAUUCUUGGGAAUUAGGAGCCUUAUUCAGACUAAAGAACACAUUUCCUUGAUCAUGAUGGUAGAUCUGAUUCAAUAUGUUUCUAGUAAUAGGAAAUGAAGGUUACACUCAGGCCUUAAAAGCAGCCAUCUGUGAAAAUGAAGGGACAGACAGUGGUAUCAAAUUCAUUCUCAUCCUAAGCCUCUAGGGUGACUGGAUCUAGACUGUAGUUUCCUUUCAAAUCUGAAGAAAUGCUUGCCUCUCUCAUGACACUCGCAUGCAUGGCUGAUCUGCUGGCCAGAAGCCCAGGGGACAUAAGAAGCCAGGGACAUAUAAGUGCCCACAGAGAUGUGCAAGUGUUCAGAGUUCAAGUGGACUAAACCAAAUGACAAGGAGAAUCAUUGUUAGCAGAGUAUCAACAGACCAAUAUGGCCUCUAUCCCAGCAUGCACUAGCUGCUCUAAACCAGUUAUGGUGUCUUUCCUUCUGCUUUCCUAUACACUGUCAACAGAUUUUAAGGAAACAAUUUACUUUAAGUCAAUUCUUAAAGCCAAUCAUGCUGCUCUCUGAGGACUGGGAAGAAGUUACUGGUCAAAGUCACCUGAAAUUACUAGUCGUGUCUCCCAUCGUGUACAGAAGCUCGUGUCCAUGUGGCAGACCUCACCUGCCUUGUUUUUAAGCUUUCAAUUCCUUCAAAUUACAUUUUUAAAUGAUACUCUAAAUAUUUCUUUUUACAGAAGUCCAGUGCUACAGGGGCUGGACAGACAGAUGCAUAGAAGAGGUUGGCACAGGAGCUGCAGUGGGGCUGUGGUCACACACAAAAGUGAUGGGCUGGGACUGAAGGACAGCCAUCGUGUUAGCGUUGCUGAGCAGAGAGUUGAGCUGAAUCAAUUCUUUGGACCUUACCUCCUUCCUUUCCUUAAAACGCAUAUUAUAAGUGUAAAAAUCUGAAGCCCACAGAUACUCAGAAGAUGGGAUAAUGGAGACACAUGACCUUGGGCUCACCUUCAACCACUGACAGCUCCUAGCCUGUCCCCACUGCAAUUCUAAGUGAACUUAAAGCAAGUCCCAGCAACUGUACAAUUUCACUGUAUUUCUCUCCAAAGGAGACCAUCAAAACCAAACCAAACCAAACCAAAAAACUGAACCAGGGACAGCAAGAUUUCUCAGUAGUAAGGGUACUGUGCUAGCCUGUGAACCUGAGUUCCACACCCUCAUGAAUGGGGGAGGAAGGAGGGAGAGACAGAAUUUAAAGAUGUUUUUAGAGAUGUUUUUAAACAUCAGCACAUACCAUAUUGUCACAUCUAAGAAAAGUUAACAACAAAACUCCUUGAUGCCACUAAUCAUUUGUCCAUUCAAAUGGCCCAGCUGUCUAUUGCUGAAACACGGUCUCUACGUAUCCCUUCCCGGCUGACUUCAUACUGGCAGCUCUCCCCCUGCCUCUGCUUUCUGACUGCUGAGAUUAUACAAGUUUUGUUUUUAAAUUUUUCAAAUCAGGUCUUUAAAUUUGCCCGUCAGUAUUUUAGACACAACUCUGUGUCCAUUUAAAAAUUAAACACCAGGUAAAAGAGGAAGUUGACCAAGGAGAUCCCAGGUUCUCAGUUUGAGGCUGGGAUUGUGCAGCCGGCCUGCCUCUGUCUCUUGACUAUGUGAGAAUCAACAUUUGACUUAAAAACAGAAACUGCCAUGAAGGAGAGUACAGCUGGGUUAAGUCAGCACCUUAGGAACUUGAGUGAGCAACAUCAUAGCCAAUGGCAAGCACUGAAGCUCUGAGCAAGCCGUCUUCCGCUAAGGGUAUACUCCGUACUACUGAAGAGCCACUGUACACACAGACCUACAGGGGCACUGUACAGUCCGUGUUCAGAACGAAAUGUGAUACUCCAAGA
This is a non-coding RNA of Rattus norvegicus (Norway rat), 5572 nucleotides long. The record is from RefSeq and is a predicted model, not a curated record. NCBI's taxonomy places the organism in Eukaryota, Metazoa, Chordata, Mammalia, Rodentia, Muridae.